CUUAUUCCAAUUUGAAACAAACAAUGACAAUAAAUAGCACUUUUUUGUCAUGUAAAUAAUGUAUUCUGAUUAGAUAAGUAACUUAAUUAAAAGCCUUCCAAAUUGAAAUUUAAUUGGGGAAUGUUGUGAUAAGAUCAAUUUGGGUCUAUCCACCACUGGAACAAAACAAAAUUAUCAUUUAUUGGGAUGCCAAUUUGGACCACAUCAUUACAAAACAUCAUACCUCAUGAUCAAGAGCUAUUCCUAGAUUCAUGGAGAUGUAAUGCCAAAAAACAUUAAUUUUGAGACUGAAAUCUGAUCAAAAACUUAUAUCUAUACAUACAUACAAAUGUAUCACCAUUUGCUAUUAAAC
RNAcentral lists this long non-coding RNA (352 nucleotides) under Musa acuminata (dwarf banana). Its description in RNAcentral is "long non-coding RNA (MACU_LNC006471)". The record is from RNAcentral. Lineage: Eukaryota; Viridiplantae; Streptophyta; Magnoliopsida; Zingiberales; Musaceae.